This 405-nucleotide ribosomal RNA is filed under the name uncultured bacterium. Its description in RNAcentral is "bacterial SSU rRNA". It matches the Rfam family "Bacterial small subunit ribosomal RNA", at positions 355 to 776 of the family's 1533-position model. The record is from RNAcentral.
UUGGGAAUAUUGCACAAUGGGCGACAGCCUGAUGCAGCGACGCCGCGUGAAGGAAGAAGGCCUUCGGGUUGUAAACUUCUUUUUUAAGGGACGAUUGUGACGGUACCUUAAGAAUAAGGACCUGCUAACUACGUGCCAGCAGCAGCGGUAAUACGUAGGGUCCAAGCGUUGUCCGGAUUUAUUGGGCGUAAAGAGUAUGUAGGUGGCUUGGAAAGUUGGAUCUUAAAUCCCCGGGCUCAACCCGGGUUCUGGAUUCAAUACUUCCUUGCUUUGAGGAUAGCAGGGGCAAGUGGAAUUAGCGGAGUAGCAGUGAAAUGCGUUGAUCUCGCUAAGAACACCAAUAGCGAAGGCAGCUUGCUAGGCUAUCACUGACACUGAGAUACGAAAGCGUGGGGAGCGAACGGG